Molecule: ribosomal RNA, 459 nt
Filed under: Funneliformis coronatus
Lineage: Eukaryota; Fungi; Glomeromycota; Glomeromycetes; Glomerales; Glomeraceae
Description: LSU rRNA
Rfam family: Eukaryotic large subunit ribosomal RNA
Source: RNAcentral
GGAAAGAUGAAAAGAACUUUGAAAAGAGAGUUAAACAGUACGUGAAAUUGUUGAAAGGGAAACGAUUGAAGUCAGUCAUACCAACGAGAAAUCAACCUUUUGAGCUUUGUCUCGUGGGUUCGAAGAGUUUAAACGCCUUCGGGUUCGCGAGAUUGGGAUCUUCUGGUGUACUUUCUCGUACGGUUAGUCAACAUCGGUUUUGAAUGCCAUAAAAUGACUGGAGGAAUGUAGCUUCGAUCUCGUAUCGAAGUGUUAUAGCCUUUGGUAGAUGUGAUGUUUGAGACCGAGGAUUGCAACGGAUACCCUUCAUGGGCUAUCCGUCUGAUCUCUGAUACGUUGCCUUGACGUUGAAAGCUUGCUUAUGAUGUUAGGGUUUUACGGUCAAAGGUUAGAACGGAUUAAAUUCGUUAAGGAUGUUGACGUAAUGACUUUAAACGACCCGUCUUGAAACACGGACCA